Molecule: ribosomal RNA, 230 nt
Filed under: uncultured bacterium
Lineage: Bacteria
Description: partial 16S ribosomal RNA
Rfam family: Bacterial small subunit ribosomal RNA
Source: RNAcentral
GAUCAUGGCUCAGGACGAACGCUGGCGGCGUGCCUAACACAUGCAAGUCGAACGAAGCUCGAAGCUCUGAGAUUUCGGUCAAGGAGCCUAGAUGACUUAGUGGCGAACGGGUGAGUAAUGCGUGAGCAACCUGCCUUUCAGAGGGGGACAACAGUUGGAAACGACUGCUAAUACCGCAUAAUGUAUCCGGUAGGCAUCUACUGGAUACCAAAGGAGCAAUCCGCUGAAAG